This 73-nucleotide non-coding RNA is filed under the name Cimex lectularius (bed bug). RNAcentral's name for it is "tRNA". It matches the Rfam family "tRNA". From Rfam's summary of the family: Transfer RNA (tRNA) molecules are approximately 80 nucleotides in length. Their secondary structure includes four short double-helical elements and three loops (D, anti-codon, and T loops). Further hydrogen bonds mediate the characteristic L-shaped molecular structure. tRNAs have two regions of fundamental functional importance: the anti-codon, which is responsible for specific mRNA codon recognition, and the 3' end, to which the tRNAs corresponding amino acid is attached (by aminoacyl-tRNA synthetases). tRNAs cope with the degeneracy of the genetic code in two manners: having more than one tRNA (with a specific anti-codon) for a particular amino acid; and 'wobble' base-pairing, i.e. permitting non-standard base-pairing at the 3rd anti-codon position. Lineage: Eukaryota; Metazoa; Arthropoda; Insecta; Hemiptera; Cimicidae. The record is from Rfam by way of RNAcentral.
GUCACGAUAGCUCAAGUGGUAGAGCAGCGGCGGAUCAAGCCGUAAGUCGUGGGUUCGAAUCCCACUCGUGACA